AUUGAACGCUGGCGGCAGGCUUAACACAUGCAAGUCGAGCGGGGUGAUGGUGCUUGCACUAUCACUUAGCGGCGGACGGGUGAGUAAUGCUUAGGAAUCUGCCUAUUAGUGGGGGACAACAUCUCGAAAGGGAUGCUAAUACCGCAUACGUCCUACGGGAGAAAGCAGGGGAUCACUUGUGACCUUGCGCUAAUAGAUGAGCCUAAGUCGGAUUAGCUAGUUGGUGGGGUAAAGGCCUACCAAGGCGACGAUCUGUAGCGGGUCUGGGAGGACGAUACGCCACACCGGGACUGAGACACGGCCCAGACUCCUACGGGAGGCAGCAGUGGGGAAUAUUGGAAAAUGGGGGGAACCCUGAUCCAGCCAUGCCGGGUGUGUGAAGAAGGCCUUAUGGUUGUAAAGCACUUUAAGCGAGGAGGAGGCUCUUUUGGUUAAUACCCAAGAUGAGUGGACGUUACUCGCAGAAUAAGCACCGGCUAACUCUGUGCCAGCCGCCGCAGUAA
RNAcentral lists this ribosomal RNA (503 nucleotides) under uncultured bacterium. RNAcentral describes it as "partial 16S ribosomal RNA". It matches the Rfam family "Bacterial small subunit ribosomal RNA", at positions 30 to 523 of the family's 1533-position model. The record is from RNAcentral.